This 443-nucleotide ribosomal RNA is filed under the name Ensifer sp. CL6.25. RNAcentral describes it as "bacterial SSU rRNA". It matches the Rfam family "Bacterial small subunit ribosomal RNA", at positions 1 to 497 of the family's 1533-position model. Lineage: Bacteria; Pseudomonadati; Pseudomonadota; Alphaproteobacteria; Hyphomicrobiales; Rhizobiaceae. The record is from RNAcentral.
UGAGCUUGAUCCCUGGCUCAGAACGAACGCUGGCGGCAGGCUUAACACAUGCAAGUCGAGCGCCCCGCAAGGGGAGCGGCAGACGGGUGAGUAACGCGUGGGAAUCUACCCUUUUCUACGGAAUAACGCAGGGAAACUUGUGCUAAUACCGUAUGAGCCCUUCGGGGGAAAGAUUUAUCGGGAAAGGAUGAGCCCGCGUUGGAUUAGCUAGUUGGUGGGGUAAAGGCCUACCAAGGCGACGAUCCAUAGCUGGUCUGAGAGGAUGAUCAGCCACAUUGGGACUGAGACACGGCCCAAACUCCUACGGGAGGCAGCAGUGGGGAAUAUUGGACAAUGGGCGCAAGCCUGAUCCAGCCAUGCCGCGUGAGUGAUGAAGGCCCUAGGGUUGUAAAGCUCUUUCACCGGUGAAGAUAAUGACGGUAACCGGAGAAGAAGCCCCCGGC